Molecule: long non-coding RNA, 2620 nt
Filed under: Haliotis rufescens (red abalone)
Lineage: Eukaryota; Metazoa; Mollusca; Gastropoda; Lepetellida; Haliotidae
Description: uncharacterized LOC125378150, transcript variant X22
Source: RNAcentral
ACCCCCUACACCCCCUACACCCCCCACACCCCCAGCCCUUCUCAGUCUUACCAUGCAUCCCCCCACCCCACAACCAACCCAGCUGUUAUGCCCCCUCUUUUCAGACUCUGGCCAUCAUCUCGUUGUCUUAAAGAAGGAAUCUUUGGAAUAUGAAUAUAUAUAUAUAGGAAUGCCUGUAUCUAUUAUGAAUACUGAGGCAUUCAAAUACAAAUAUUACGUUUUUAUUUUCAGGGUGUAGUAUCUCAGUAAUUGUAUUGCAUGAUACAUAAUGAACCAUGUCCCUAUUAUUUAGUAUUCUGGUAGUUGGAUUACUGCGUAGAUUGAACCCUGAGUUGGGAAUAUUCGACAGUACCUCAUGCUUGUCCAAUGUGGAUUCCAGGUAAACUAGGUCCUCAGUACCCAUGUAUUCCAGUGGGGAUUCCAGGUAAACUAGGUCCUCCGUACCCCAUGUACUCCAGGUAAACUAGGUCCUCCGUACCCCAUGUAUUCCAGUGGGGAUUCCAGGUAAACUAGGUCCUCAGUACCCCAUGUAUUCCAGGUAAACUAGGUCCUCAGUACCCCAUGUAUUCCAGGUAAACUAGGUCCUCCGUACCCCAUGUAUUCCAGUGGGGAUUCCAGGUAAACUAGGUCCUCAGUACCCAUAUAUUCCAGUAGGGAUUCCAGGUAAACUAGGUCCUCCGUACCCCAUGUAUUCCAGUGGGGAUUCCAGGUAAACUAGGUCCUCAGUACCCCAUGUAUUCCAGGUAAACUAGGUCCUCCGUACCCCAUGUAUUCCAGUGGGGAUUCCAGGUAAACUAGGUCCUCAGUACCCAUAUAUUCCAGUAGGGAUUCCAGGUAAACUAGGUCCUCCGUACCCCAUGUAUUCCAGUGGGGAUUCCAGGUAAACUAGGUCCUCCGUACCCCAUGUAUUCCAGGUAAACUAGGUCCUCCGUACCCCAUGUAUUCCAGUGGGGAUUCCAGGUAAACUAGGUCCUCCGUACCCCAUGUAUUCCAGUGGGGAUUCCAGGUAAACUAGGUCCUCCGUACCCCAUGUAUUCCAGUGGGGAUUCCAGGUAAACUAGGUCCUCCGUACCCCAUGUAUUCCAGUGGGGAUUCCAGGUAAACUAGGUCCUCAGUACCCCAUGUAUUCCAGGUAAACUAGGUCCUCCGUACCCCAUGUAUUCCAGUGGGGAUUCCAGGUAAACUAGGUCCUCAGUACCCAUAUAUUCCAGUAGGGAUUCCAGGUAAACUAGGUCCUCCGUACCCCAUGUAUUCCAGUGGGGAUUCCAGGUAAACUAGGUCCUCCGUACCCCAUGUAUUCCAGUGGGGAUUCCAGGUAAACUAGGUCCUCAGUACCCCAUGUAUUCCAGUGGGGAUUCCAGGUAAACUAGGUCCUCAGUACCCCAUGUAUUCCAGGUAAACUAGGUCCUCCGUACCCCAUGUAUUCCAGUGGGGAUUCCAGGUAAACUAGGUCCUCAGUACCCAUAUAUUCCAGUAGGGAUUCCAGGUAAACUAGGUCCUCCGUACCCCAUGUAUUCCAGUGGGGAUUCCAGGUAAACUAGGUCCACUACAAAGAUCAAGUGGUAACAGUGUGUGACCUGGCUGAUUGUGUGUGAUCAUGGCAUAGCAGUCUGGUCAUUCAUCCACUGGUUCGCCGUAUUGCUGACUGCAGGUUGAAUCUAGGUUGAAUAUGGAGUUACCACAACAGCUGUCUGUACAAAGAAAAUGUGUCAUAUUCCUUUGAUGAUCACGAAGAAAAGAAAAGAAAUUAUGAAAUCUCAGAAUCUUAAAAUGAACCAAUUGUUCAUGGAAAACUAUCAAGAUUUGUGAACCUAUUGAUUUUACCAUGUAGCUCACUAUUUUAAUGUUUAUUUAUCAACUGUGUGUUCAGUAAACCUGUUCCUUUUUUACCAGAAUUUUGUUUCAUGUUAUUUAUUUCCUUGCAGGACUAGUUGACAUUUGUUAAUAGAAUCCAUUUAUUUAUGUCCCAUGUUUCUCAGUUUUGGCAGUGUGCACACCCUUUAGGCUACUGAAGUGUUACCCUGUCAGCUUAUGACAAUAGGUCUAGAUGACUUGGUUUUCUUGACAAAUGUUCAAACUGAAUAACUAAAACAAUUGAUUUUAAUGAUUAAAGUAUCUUAUGCAUGUAACGCAUGUUUUAUUUCAGGGAUGUAGAAUGUAUUAUUACCAAGUAUGAUAUGACUACCUGUACCUUUCUAUCCAUGUGUAUCAUGUACCAUUGGCAUGAGGCUGAAUAUACCAGCACAGAUCAUACGAAGCCAAAUUUGCAUUUCCCAUUAUUUUACCUGUCACAGUUGGGUAUGGAAAUUAAUCUCGUCCCCUGCUUCAUGAAUCUUGUUUGCUUCUGGUAUAUGUAAUGUUAAAUGGAUUUAACUUUCUUUGACUAUUGUCAUUAUUUACAAUUGUUUUGUUGUCUUGCUUUUGAAACUGUUUUUUGUAGUUGGUGUUUGAAAUUGUAUUCUGUCUCUUGAUGCUUGAUUUUCAAAUAUUUGAAUAUAUACGAUUGUUGAAUCUUGUAACCUGAUCUUGUGUUAGAGUAAUGUUGUAAAGGGAUCGAUGCUAAUGUCUGAUGUGGCAGGAUGUGAGUGUUACCAUGGCUACAGUUUUCCCUGACUUCCUG